AGUGAACGCUGGCGGUAGGCCUAACACAUGCAAGUCGAACGGCAGCACAGUAAGAGCUUGCUCUUACGGGUGGCGAGUGGCGGACGGGUGAGGAAUACAUCGGAAUCUACUUUUUCGUGGGGGAUAACGUAGGGAAACUUACGCUAAUACUGCAUACGACCUACGGUUGAAAGCAGGGGAUCUUCGGACCUUGCGCGAUUGAAUGAGCCGCUGUCGGAUUAGCUAGUUGGCGGGGUAAAGGCCCACCAAGGCGACGAUCCGUAGCUGGUCUGAGAGGAUGAUCAGCCACACUGGAACUGAGACACGGUCCAGACUCCUACGGGAGGCAGCAGUGGGGAAUAUUGGACAAUGGGCGCAAGCCUGAUCCAGCCAUACCGCGUGGGUGAAGAAGGCCUUCGGGUUGUAAAGCCCUUUUGUUGGGAAAGAAAAGCAGCAGGUUAAUACCCCGCUGUUCUGACGGUACCCAAAGAAUAAGCACCGGCUAACUUCGUG
RNAcentral lists this ribosomal RNA (492 nucleotides) under uncultured bacterium. Its description in RNAcentral is "partial 16S ribosomal RNA". It matches the Rfam family "Bacterial small subunit ribosomal RNA", at positions 29 to 507 of the family's 1533-position model. The record is from RNAcentral.